Molecule: long non-coding RNA, 802 nt
Organism: Zingiber officinale
Lineage: Eukaryota; Viridiplantae; Streptophyta; Magnoliopsida; Zingiberales; Zingiberaceae
Exons: 4
Source: RefSeq, a predicted model, not a curated record
AAACCGCCGAUCCCUACUUGCCUUCCCCGAUCUCCCCUCUUCCUCUCUCUGUUCUCUCUCGCGGACAAGCGGCGCCAAAGGGAUUAGGGCUUUCAGCUCCGGCGAUCCUCCUCUACCGACAUUGGCGGCCGUUGAGCUCAGAUCCGGGCGGCGCUAUUCCUCUCUGGAUCAUGGACACGGCGUUGCGUCUUCUCUAGUCGACAGCCGGCCUUUCUUCCCCGAUCCGACGAACCGUGCCCUAGGUUCGUCGUCGGUGCAGAUCGGAGCUUGGAGCACAGAGUCGGAUCCGAUCAGUGGUCGCGACGACAAGCCGUGCCUUAGCAGCGAUCCUUAAGGUCACGGGAUUGAUUUCCAGGUGAGGUUUGGUGAUCAGUGAAGUGAGGGUCUGUUGCUGUGAGGCUGGAAUUGUGAUCUUCUUAUUUUGAUUCGAUUGAUCCAGUAAGGUUAGCAUCUGUGAUAGUGAAGUGAAUUCAGCAUAAGUGUUCUGUAGGUUGGGAGGUUCCUUGUUCUUGAUUCAGCAGAGGUGUUCUUGUUCUUGUGAGGUGCUGUUCUGUUCUGUGGAUUUGUGAUCGUGAGGUGUUUCCUUGCCGACAGCACUCCAACCAGCAAUAGUAUGGGCUGUGAAUCGAGGACUCUGAUUCGAGACGGCGUCUCGACGUCGACUUGGGAUUGCGUGAUUUGUACCUUCUAUUUGAGGCGGGUACCCUCUGACUUAUCUUUUGAUAAUGUCUUAUGAUAUGUGUAGCUUAUAUAUAUUUACUAGUGGUAGAUAGUAGAUUAUUUCUUCCCUGGUCUUAGCUAG